Non-coding RNA from Podarcis lilfordi (Lilford's wall lizard), 225 nucleotides. Lineage: Eukaryota; Metazoa; Chordata; Lepidosauria; Squamata; Lacertidae. The record is from the annotation of a GenBank genome assembly.
CCUAACGUUCAGCUGAAAUCUGCUUCUCUGCAGUUUCCACUGGCUGGUUCUAGCCCUGUCCCUCGGAGCAAGAAAUAAACCUGCUCAAUCCUUCUGCAUGACAGAUAUUUGAAGACCACUAUCACAUCUCCCUUCUUUUCUCUGGGCUAAACCUUCUUUUCUCUAGCUGUUCCAGGCAUUCCUUAUAGGAACAGUUUCCAGGCUCCUGGGGUGGGGGUAAGAGAG